CCGAGUUACAGCUCUUUUAGAAUCUGUCUAGCAGCAUUUCCUGUUCUCACCACAAGACCAC
RNAcentral lists this small nuclear RNA (61 nucleotides) under Otolemur garnettii (small-eared galago). RNAcentral's name for it is "U7 small nuclear RNA (ENSOGAG00000023053.1)". It matches the Rfam family "U7 small nuclear RNA". From Rfam's summary of the family: Animal histone pre-mRNAs are spliced by a different mechanism than nuclear pre-mRNAs and self-splicing introns. This processing involves the U7 snRNP, which contains only one RNA species: U7. The record is from Rfam by way of RNAcentral. Lineage: Eukaryota; Metazoa; Chordata; Mammalia; Primates; Galagidae.